GAAAAAGAUGGCAAAAUGUGCUCAUCUUCUCCAUGGUGAACGAAAAUAGCAAGGGGGAAGCCAUAGUUAGGGUUUUCAAGCUUCCAAGCUCCAUAAUCAAGAAGAACGAAAUUCGGAGUUAGACUGGGGGAAGAAAAAGAUAGAGGAGUAAGUUGCUAGAUUUGGUCAAAUUUUGUACCGAGUAUUAUCAAGCAUAGUCGGGAUCUUGAAGACGUCGGAGAGCGUUCACACUAUCAACCACCACAACUCGAUAUUUUAAGACGAUAAAUGUUUCGAGCUAUGGCAUGUAUAGGGACUUAGUCAUUUCGAUUGUUUAUUCUUAAAUUAUGACCAAAAGAUGUUAUGUAAAUAUUUGAUGAUGAAUAGUUAUUAAAAUGGCUAAGUAUGAAGGUGUUUGUUGUUAUAAA
Gossypium raimondii (Peruvian cotton) is the source of this 407-nucleotide long non-coding RNA. RefSeq lists it as uncharacterized. The record is from RefSeq and is a predicted model, not a curated record. The transcript has 3 exons. NCBI's taxonomy places the organism in Eukaryota, Viridiplantae, Streptophyta, Magnoliopsida, Malvales, Malvaceae.